GUUUCCCUUGUAACCUGCUUGGACUGUGAGCGAUUCCUAUAUGAAGAGCUUUGCAAGUUAGCUUCUAGAAGAACACUUUUAGUGUUCAACUGGUGCCACUCUCAGGUGCACACGGAGACCUAAACAGAAAUAUUCAUUGCAACCCUUCUUGUCAUAAGAAAAAAGUGAAAACAACUAACUGUCCUUUAGGAGGACUGUAAGCAAAUAGAAUGUGAUUGUUCUUGGGAUAGAAUUCAACCUAGCAGUUAAAAAAAUGAACUAGAAGAUACCAAGAAAGACAGAAAACCCAUUCUAGUGAGGAGAAACUGGAGCCCUGUGCACCACUGGCAGCAAUGUGAAACGGUGCAGCCACUGUGGACAAGAGCACGGUGGUUCCCCGGACAACUGAAAAUGGAAAUCCCACCUGCGGCAGAAAUCAUUCCAGUUCUGGGCAUAUACGGCAAAGAAUGGAAAGUGAGACCUCAAAGAGAGAUCCGUGUACCUGUCGCAUCAGUAUUCAUAACAGCAAAAGGGUGGAAGCAACCCAGUGUCCACUGGCAGAUAAGUGGAUAAACAAGGUGUGGUAUAUGCAUACAGUGAGCCUUAAAAAGAGGCAAUUCUGACACACGCUACAGCAGGAGAAACCUGGAGAAGAGUGGAGGUGUCCGGGGUUUCAGGGGAGAGGAAUGUGCAAUUAUCGUUUAGUGAGUGCAGGGUUUCCCUUCAGGAAGAUGAACUGUUCUGGAAGGGGCUGGGGUGUAGUUCAGAGGCAGAGUGCUUGCCCUGGGUUAAAUCCCCAGCAACACACACACACAAAUUCUGGAGCUAGAUGGAGGUGAGAAUUUCAUGGCAUUGUUUCAAUGCCACUGAACUAUACACUUAAACAUGGUCAAUUUUAUGUUAUGCAUAUUUCACCACAAUUAAAUAAACAUAAUAUUGAGUGCAAAGAAGCAAUUUCCAGAAAGAAUCAUGCAAUAUGCCAUUAAUAUAAAAUGUCUAAAUAUUCAAAACAAAUUUUACUAAUGGUUGGACACCCAGGUCAUAUCAGAUGAACCAUGUGGACUUGUCAUCUUGGAGGAUCAGAAACAUUCAAGUAUUGGCAAUGGCGU
RNAcentral lists this long non-coding RNA (1088 nucleotides) under Marmota monax (woodchuck). The record is from RNAcentral. Lineage: Eukaryota; Metazoa; Chordata; Mammalia; Rodentia; Sciuridae.